Scatophagus argus is the source of this 1599-nucleotide long non-coding RNA. RefSeq lists it as uncharacterized. The record is from RefSeq and is a predicted model, not a curated record. Lineage: Eukaryota; Metazoa; Chordata; Actinopteri; Scatophagidae. The transcript is spliced from 5 exons.
UAGACGUGCAGCUUCGCUUGCCUCUUCCGCUUCCUUCCGGUGGCCACCUGCUUGGCGUGACCACCGUGAUUGUUUGGCGUGGCCGUUGUGGGUGCACGAUCCUCUUCACUCAGGUUCCUGCUGCAGGAGUUCAACAGCCAGCUCAUGUGAUGUCACAGAGAAAAAAAAGAACAUCAACCGCACGCAGGAGACAACGGCUGCCGAGAACCGGCUUUCUCUACCGUGACAUCCCAAAAGACGAGGCCUUGGGAGGUACUUGCCCAAACCCUGCAAAACUCCCGAGUCAACGGAUGCGGACAACGCAGAGAGCGGGGGCCACGUGAAGACGGAGGUCAUUUCCGUGUCCGAAGGAUGACUGCAGAGGACAGCAUUUGACAUUAGAGGACAGCAGAACUUCAUCCAUGUUUUUUAGAUUGUACUUUGGUCAAGUAUUUUUAAAGUGACUAAGAAUAAAUUCCCAAAAAAAGCAGUUAUGUGUCCUUGUAAUGUGUUGCUCAUGAAGAGUGGUGUUGCCUCUUUGGAAGUUCUGUUUGUUUCUGCCUUUUGACACAAAAGUGUUGGGUUUUGGUUAAACACUUAGGAAAUGUAGUUCAAGGUUAAAGUGUUUCAAUAAUAUAUUAAGUGUUUCAAACUUUGUUAAAGGUUAAAACACCUGGGAAAUGUUUUGUAAGUGUUCAAAAAAUAUGUAACUGUUAAACUCACAGGUAAUUUGUUUUUCAAGGUAAGUGUUUUGAAAUGUUUAAAGGUUAAAGUGUUGAAAAAGUAUGUCAUGGUUCAAAAAUACAUUUUACAAAAGAGUUUGGAGACGGUACUUAAUGUAUUUUUAAAGCGGUAAAGACGAAGAAUAAAAUGCUUAAAAAAAACAGUACUCUGUCCUUGUAAUGUGUUGCUCAUGAGGAGUGGCGUUACCUCUUUGGGAAGGUUUUGUUUCUGCCUUUUGCCACGAAAAUGUUUGAUUUUGGUGAAACACCUGGGGAAAUUAUGUUCAAGGUUAAAGUGUUUAAAAAGUAUAUAACGGUGAAACACUCGGGCGUUAAGUGUUAUGUAAUUUCUUUUUCAAGGUAAGUGUUAAAAAAAAAUUUUUCAAGGUUAAAGUGUUACAAAAGAGUUUCCAGAUGAGAGUAAAUUGCUAUAAAAGCAUUACUCUGUCCUGGUAAUGUGGUGUUUAUGAAGAGCGGUGUUACCAGUUUGGGAUGUUUUUGUUUCUGGCUUUUGACACAAAAGGUUAGGUGAAACACUUGGAAAAUGUUUUGUUUUGUUUUUUUAUUUUAUUUUAUUUUUUUAUUUUUUUUUUCAAGGUUAAAGUGUGUAAAACUUUGUUCAAGGUUAAACAUUUGAGAAAUGUUUUGAAAGCGUUCAAAAACUACGUAACCGUUAAACUCGCAGGUACUUUCGGUUAAACACUUGGGGACAUUUUUUAAAGGUAAGCGUUAUGUCAUUUGUUUUUCAAGGUAAGUGUUUCAAAAUGUUUAAAGGUUAAAGUGUUGAAAAAGUAUGUCAAGGUUCAAAAAUAUAUUUUUACAAAAGAGUUUGGAGAUGGUACUUAAAGUAUUUGUAAAGCUGUGAAACAUGGAGAAUAAAUUGCUUUAACAAAAAAAA